GAAACUCAAGGAAUUGACGGGGCCCGCACAAGCGGUGGAGCAUGUGGUUUAAUUCGACGCAACGCGAAGAACCUUACCAGGGCUUGACAUCCCCUGACCGCGUAUGAAAGUACGUUUUCACCUCGGGUGACAGGGAGACAGGUGGUGCAUGGUUGUCGUCAGCUCGUGUCGUGAGAUGUUGGGUUAAGUCCCGCAACGAGCGCAACCCCUACGUUUAGUUGCUAACGCGUGAAGGCGAGCACUCUAGACGAACUGCCGUUGACAAAACGGAGGAAGUGGGGAUGACGUCAAAUCAUCAUGCCCCUUAUGUUCUGGGCUACACACGUGCUACAAUGGCCGGUACAGACGGACGCAAAGCCGCGAGGUGGAGCAAAUCCUAAAAAGCCGGUCUCAGUUCGGAUUGCAGGCUGCAAUUCGCCUGCAUGAAGUCGGAAUCGCUAGUAAUCGCAGGUCAGCAUACUGCGGUGAAUACGUUCCCGGGCCUU
This 485-nucleotide ribosomal RNA is filed under the name uncultured Pelotomaculum sp. Its description in RNAcentral is "bacterial SSU rRNA". It matches the Rfam family "Bacterial small subunit ribosomal RNA", at positions 896 to 1382 of the family's 1533-position model. The record is from RNAcentral. Lineage: Bacteria; Bacillati; Bacillota; Clostridia; Eubacteriales; Desulfotomaculaceae.